RNAcentral lists this transfer RNA (93 nucleotides) under Synergistales bacterium. Its description in RNAcentral is "tRNA-Ser". It matches the Rfam family "tRNA". From Rfam's summary of the family: Transfer RNA (tRNA) molecules are approximately 80 nucleotides in length. Their secondary structure includes four short double-helical elements and three loops (D, anti-codon, and T loops). RNAcentral also lists the same sequence under 1 other name. Lineage: Bacteria; Thermotogati; Synergistota; Synergistia; Synergistales. The record is from RNAcentral.
GGAGAGGUGGCUGAGUGGUCGAAGGCGCUCGCCUGGAGAGCGAGUGGGCGGCAAAACACCGUCCCGUGGGUUCAAAUCCCACCCUCUCCGCCA